GAUGAACGCUGGCGGCGUGCCUAACACAUGCAAGUCGAGCGGAAAGACGAGGCGCUUGCGCCGUUGACGUGAGCGGCAGGCGGGUGAGUAACACGUGUAUACCCCACCUGUAAGUCGGGGAUCACCUCGGGAAACCGGAUCUAAUACCGUAGAAUCUACUGAACCGCGGGGUUCAAUAGUGAGAGACGGUGUUUCUGUCACUUAUAGAUGGAUCCGCGCCGCAUGAGCUAGUUGGUAAGGUAACGGCUUACCAAGGCUACGAUGCGUAGCCGACCUCAGGGGGUGAUCGGCCGCACGGGAACUGAGCCGCGGUCCAGGCUCCUGCGGGAGGGCGCAGUAGGGAAUCUUCCGCAGUGGGCGGGAGCUUGACGGAGCAAGCCCGCGCCAGUGAUGGAGGUGUUCGGAUCGUAAUACUGUGUUACUAGUGAAGAACAGAUGUGGCCGUAAAUGUGGACGGAGUGACGGUACCUGGUAAGGAAGCACCGGCUAACUACGUG
This 497-nucleotide ribosomal RNA is filed under the name uncultured bacterium. RNAcentral describes it as "partial 16S ribosomal RNA". It matches the Rfam family "Bacterial small subunit ribosomal RNA", at positions 28 to 507 of the family's 1533-position model. The record is from RNAcentral.